UAAAUUGAUGCUACAACCUGACUGGGGGAUGGCUCGGCUCGAGAGCUGAUGAAGGUCGUGACAAGCUGCGAUAAGCU
RNAcentral lists this ribosomal RNA (77 nucleotides) under Candidatus Thalassarchaeaceae archaeon. RNAcentral describes it as "partial 23S ribosomal RNA". It matches the Rfam family "Archaeal large subunit ribosomal RNA", at positions 1 to 77 of the family's 2987-position model. Lineage: Archaea; Methanobacteriati; Thermoplasmatota; Candidatus Poseidoniia; Candidatus Poseidoniales; Candidatus Thalassarchaeaceae. The record is from RNAcentral.